AGGGCUGGUCUAGAGACCCUAGCCCACCGAAAGGCGGGGGCCUUCCCC
Molecule: non-coding RNA, 48 nt
Filed under: unclassified sequences
Description: DUF3800-XI RNA
Rfam family: DUF3800-XI RNA
About the family: Actinobacteria, Firmicutes, Proteobacteria, Spirochaetes (1 example). Nearby to DUF3800
Source: Rfam by way of RNAcentral